CACAUGCAAGUCGAGGGGCAGCAUCGCGAUAGCUUGCUAUUGCGGAUGGCGACCGGCGCACGGGUGAGUAACGCGUAUCCAACCUUCCCGCAACUGGGGAAUAACCUUGCGAAAGUAAGACUAAUACCCCAUGGUCUCCACGGAUGGCAUCUGAAGUGGAGUAAAGGUUCCGGCCGGUUGCGGAUGGGGAUGCGUCCGAUUAGCUUGACGGCGGGGUAACGGCCCACCGUGGCAUCGAUCGGUAGGGGUUCUGAGAGGAAGGUCCCCCACAUUGGAACUGAGACACGGUCCAAACUCCUACGGGAGGCAGCAGUGAGGAAUAUUGGUCAAUGGGCGGAAGCCUGAACCAGCCAAGUAGCGUGAAGGACGACUGCCCUACGGGUUGUAAACUUCUUUUAUGCGGGGAUAAAGUUCGCCACGUGUGGCGUUUUGCAGGUACCGCAUGAAUAAGGACCGGCUAAUUCCGUGCCAGCAGCCGCGGUAAUACGGAAGGUCCAGGCGUUAUCCGGAUUCAUUGGGUUUAAAGGGAGCGUAGGCCGCCUUUUAAGCGUGUUGUGAAAUGUAGGGGCUCAACCCCUGCACUGCAGCGCGAACUGGAGGGCUUGAGUACACACAAAGUAGGCGGAAUUCAUGGUGUAGCGGUGAAAUGCUUAGAUAUCAUGAAGAACCCC
This 671-nucleotide ribosomal RNA is filed under the name uncultured bacterium. Its description in RNAcentral is "bacterial SSU rRNA". It matches the Rfam family "Bacterial small subunit ribosomal RNA", at positions 52 to 710 of the family's 1533-position model. The record is from RNAcentral.